AUCCAUCACCCAGUACACUCAGAUGAAUCGAUUCAUCCAGUUCACUGAAAAGAAUCAAUUCAAAAGAAAGAUUCCUUCAUGAACUGGAC
Long non-coding RNA from Nanorana parkeri, 89 nucleotides. RefSeq lists it as uncharacterized. The transcript has 3 exons. The record is from RefSeq and is a predicted model, not a curated record. NCBI's taxonomy places the organism in Eukaryota, Metazoa, Chordata, Amphibia, Anura, Dicroglossidae.